RNAcentral lists this ribosomal RNA (670 nucleotides) under uncultured bacterium. Its description in RNAcentral is "bacterial SSU rRNA". It matches the Rfam family "Bacterial small subunit ribosomal RNA", at positions 335 to 1009 of the family's 1533-position model. The record is from RNAcentral.
ACUCCUACGGGAGGCAGCAGUGGGGAAUAUUGCGCAAUGGGCGGAAGCCUGACGCAGCGACGCCGCGUGGGGGAUGACGGCCUUCGGGUUGUAAACCUCUUUCGGCCUUGACGAAGCUCUUCGGGGUGACGGUAGGGGUAGAAGAAGCACCGGCCAACUACGUGCCAGCAGCCGCGGUAAUACGUAGGGUGCGAGCGUUGUCCGGAAUUAUUGGGCGUAAAGAGCUCGUAGGCGGUCUGUCGCGUCGGUCGUGAAAACUUGGGGCUUAACCCUGAGCUUGCGGUCGAUACGGGCAUGACUGGAGUUCGGCAGGGGAGACUGGAAUUCCUGGUGUAGCGGUGAAAUGCGCAGAUAUCAGGAGGAACACCGGUGGCGAAGGCGGGUCUCUGGGCCGAUACUGACGCUGAGGAGCGAAAGCGUGGGGAGCGAACAGGAUUAGAUACCCUGGUAGUCCACGCCGUAAACGGUGGGCGCUAGGUGUGGGGGCCAUUCCACGGUCUCUGUGCCGCAGCUAACGCAUUAAGCGCCCCGCCUGGGGAGUACGGCCGCAAGGCUAAAACUCAAAGGAAUUGACGGGGGCCCGCACAAGCGGCGGAGCAUGUGGAUUAAUUCGAUGCAACGCGAAGAACCUUACCUGGGUUUGGCAUGCACCAGACGCGGUCAGAGAUGG